UACGGAGGGUGCGAGCGUUGUCCGGAAUCAUUGGGCGUAAAGGGCGCGUAGGUGGCGGGACAAGCGUGCGGUGAAAGCCUGGGGCUCAACCCCGGGUCGGCCGUGCGAACUGUUUUGCUUGAGCACUGUAGAGGCAGGCGGAAUUCCGGGUGUAGCGGUGGAAUGCGUAGAGAUCCGGAAGAACACCGGUGGCGAAGGCAGCCUGCUGGGCAGUAGCUGACACUGAGGCGCGACAGCGUGGGGAGCAAACAGG
Molecule: ribosomal RNA, 253 nt
Filed under: uncultured bacterium
Lineage: Bacteria
Description: partial 16S ribosomal RNA
Rfam family: Bacterial small subunit ribosomal RNA
Source: RNAcentral